Molecule: ribosomal RNA, 253 nt
Filed under: uncultured bacterium
Lineage: Bacteria
Description: partial 16S ribosomal RNA
Rfam family: Bacterial small subunit ribosomal RNA
Source: RNAcentral
GACGAACCGUGCGAACGUUAUUCGGAAUUACUGGGCGUAAAGCGCGCGCAGGCGGCUUUGCAAGUCGAGUGUGAAAUCCCCAGGCUUAACUUGGGAACUGCAUUCGAGACUGCAUAGCUAGAGUAUGGGAGAGGGAAGUGGAAUUUCAGGUGUAGCGGUGAAAUGCGUAGAUAUCUGAAGGAACAUCAGUGGCGAAAGCGACUUCCUGGACCAAUACUGACGCUCAUGUGCGAAAGCGUGGGGAGCAAACAGG